UCCAAAAGAAUGAAAARGUACGAGUGGAUAUCAUAGURCAGGAUGAUGCUAGAGGAAUUCCCAAAUGGAUAACGAUAACACCUCCAGCUUUGUCGAAAGGUUAUCGUUUAACUUCACCAGUGCAAGAACGGAUUGAAAUAUCAAAGCAACAGAGCAGUGAUUCUGAAGAUGAACACUCAACACUACAUCAG
This is a long non-coding RNA of Malurus melanocephalus (red-backed fairy wren), 191 nucleotides long. RefSeq lists it as uncharacterized. The transcript is spliced from 3 exons. Lineage: Eukaryota; Metazoa; Chordata; Aves; Passeriformes; Maluridae. The record is from RefSeq and is a predicted model, not a curated record.